GACGAACGCUGGCGGCGUGCUUAACACAUGCAAGUCGAGCGGUAAGGCCCUUUCGGGGGUACACGAGCGGCGAACGGGUGAGUAACACGUGGGUGACCUGCCCUCAGCUCUGGGAUAAGCCUGGGAAACCGGGUCUAAUACCGGAUAUGACUCCAUGACGCAUGUUGUGGGGUGGAAAGCCUUGUGCGGCUGAGGAUGGGCCCGCGGCCUAUCAGCUUGUUGGUGGGGUGAUGGCCUACCAAGGCGACGACGGGUAGCCGGCCUGAGAGGGCGACCGGCCGCACUGGGACUGAGACACGGCCCAGACUCCUACGGGAGGCAGCAGUGGGGAAUCUUGCGCAAUGGGCGAAAGCCUGACGCAGCGACGCCGCGUGAGGGAUGACGGCCU
This 388-nucleotide ribosomal RNA is filed under the name uncultured bacterium. RNAcentral's name for it is "bacterial SSU rRNA". It matches the Rfam family "Bacterial small subunit ribosomal RNA", at positions 28 to 417 of the family's 1533-position model. The record is from RNAcentral.